RNAcentral lists this ribosomal RNA (253 nucleotides) under uncultured bacterium. Its description in RNAcentral is "partial 16S ribosomal RNA". It matches the Rfam family "Bacterial small subunit ribosomal RNA", at positions 524 to 776 of the family's 1533-position model. The record is from RNAcentral.
UACGGAGGGGGCUAGCGUUGUUCGGAAUUACUGGGCGUAAAGCGCACGUAGGCGGCUUUGUAAGUUAGAGGUGAAAGCCCAGGGCUCAACCCUGGAAUUGCCUUUAAGACUGCAUCGCUUGAACAUCGGAGAGGUAAGUGGAAUUCCGAGUGUAGAGGUGAAAUUCGUAGAUAUUCGGAAGAACACCAGUGGCGAAGGCGACCAACUGGACCAUUUCUGACGCUGAGGCGCGAAAGCGUGGGGAGCAAACAGG